RNAcentral lists this ribosomal RNA (497 nucleotides) under uncultured bacterium. Its description in RNAcentral is "partial 16S ribosomal RNA". It matches the Rfam family "Bacterial small subunit ribosomal RNA", at positions 28 to 507 of the family's 1533-position model. The record is from RNAcentral.
GAUGAACGCUGGCGGCGUGCCUAAUACAUGCAAGUCGAGCGAACGGACGAGAAGCUUGCUUCUCUGAUGUUAGCGGCGGACGGGUGAGUAACACGUGGAUAACCUACCUAUAAGACUGGGAUAACUUCGGGAAACCGUAGCUAAUACCGGAUAAUAUUUUGAAACGCAUGGUUCAAAAGUGAAAGACGGUCUUGCUGUCACUUAUAGAUGGAUCCGCGCUGCAUUAGCUAGUUGGUAAGGUAACGGCUUACCAAGGCAACGAUGCAUAGCCGACCUGAGAGGGUGAUCGGCCACACUGGAACUGAGACACGGUCCAGACUCCUACGGGAGGCAGCAGUAGGGAAUCUUCCGCAAUGGGCGAAAGCCUGACGGAGCAACGCCGCGUGAGUGAUGAAGGUCUUCGGAUCGUAAAACUCUGUUAUUAGGGAAGAACAUAUGUGUAAGUAACUGUGCACAUCUUGACGGUACCUAAUCAGAAAGCCACGGCUAACUACGUG